Molecule: ribosomal RNA, 599 nt
Filed under: uncultured Lachnospiraceae bacterium
Lineage: Bacteria; Bacillati; Bacillota; Clostridia; Lachnospirales; Lachnospiraceae
Description: bacterial SSU rRNA
Rfam family: Bacterial small subunit ribosomal RNA
Source: RNAcentral
GAUGAACGCUGGCGGCGUGCUUAACACAUGCAAGUCGAACGGGAAACCUAUUAUUGAAACUUCGGUCGAUUUAAUUUGUUUCUAGUGGCGGACGGGUGAGUAACGCGUGGGUAACCUGCCCUAUACAGGGGGAUAACAACCAGAAAUGGUUGCUAAUACCGCAUAAGCGCACAGGACCGCAUGGUCCGGUGUGAAAAACUCCGGUGGUAUAGGAUGGACCCGCGUUGGAUUAGCUAGUUGGCAGGGUAACGGCCUACCAAGGCGACGAUCCAUAGCCGGCCUGAGAGGGUGAACGGCCACAUUGGGACUGAGACACGGCCCAGACUCCUACGGGAGGCAGCAGUGGGGAAUAUUGCACAAUGGGGGAAACCCUGAUGCAGCGACGCCGCGUGAAGGAAGAAGUAUCUCGGUAUGUAAACUUCUAUCAGCAGGGAAGAUAGUGACGGUACCUGACUAAGAAGCCCCGGCUAACUACGUGCCAGCAGCCGCGGUAAUACGUAGGGGGCAAGCGUUAUCCGGAUUUACUGGGUGUAAAGGGAGCGUAGACGGAUUAGCAAGUCUGAUGUGAAAGGCAGGGGCUCAACCCCUGGACUGCAUUG